RNAcentral lists this ribosomal RNA (346 nucleotides) under Blastobotrys terrestris. Its description in RNAcentral is "SSU rRNA". It matches the Rfam family "Eukaryotic small subunit ribosomal RNA", at positions 20 to 370 of the family's 1831-position model. The record is from RNAcentral. Lineage: Eukaryota; Fungi; Ascomycota; Dipodascomycetes; Dipodascales; Trichomonascaceae.
GUAGUCAUAUGCUUGUCUCAAAGAUUAAGCCAUGCAUGUCUAAGUAUAAGCAAUCUAUAUAGUGAAACUGCGAAUGGCUCAUUAAAUCAGUUAUCGUUUAUUUGAUGGUACAUUACUACUUGGAUAACCGUGGUAAUUCUAGAGCUAAUACAUGCUAAAAAUCCCAGUCUCUGGCUGGGAUGUAUUUAUUAGAUAAAAAACCAAUGUCUUCGGACUCUUUGGUGAUUCAUAAUAACUUUUCGAAUCGCAUGGCCUUGUGCCGGCGAUGGUUCAUUCAAAUUUCUGCCCUAUCAACUUUCGAUGGUAGGAUAGUGGCCUACCAUGGUUUCAACGGGUAACGGGGAAU